This 445-nucleotide ribosomal RNA is filed under the name uncultured bacterium. Its description in RNAcentral is "partial 16S ribosomal RNA". It matches the Rfam family "Bacterial small subunit ribosomal RNA", at positions 354 to 796 of the family's 1533-position model. The record is from RNAcentral.
GUGAGGAAUAUUGGACAAUGGGCGCAAGCCUGAUCCAGCCAUGCCGCGUGCAGGAAGACGCAUCUAUGGUGUGUAAACUGCUUUUGUACGGGAAGAAACACUCCCUCGUGAGGGAGCUUGACGGUACCGUAAGAAUAAGGAUCGGCUAACUCCGUGCCAGCAGCCGCGGUAAUACGGAGGAUCCAAGCGUUAUCCGGAAUCAUUGGGUUUAAAGGGUCCGUAGGCGGUUUAAUAAGUCAGUGGUGAAAGCCCAUCGCUCAACGAUGGAACGGCCAUUGAUACUGUUAGACUUGAAUUACAAGGAAGUAACUAGAAUAUGUAGUGUAGCGGUGAAAUGCUUAGAUAUUACAUGGAAUACCAAUUGCGAAGGCAGGUUACUACUUGUGGAUUGACGCUGAGGAGCGAGAGCGUGGGGAGCAAACAGGAUUAGAAACCCUUGUAGUCC